Molecule: ribosomal RNA, 254 nt
Filed under: uncultured bacterium
Lineage: Bacteria
Description: partial 16S ribosomal RNA
Rfam family: Bacterial small subunit ribosomal RNA
Source: RNAcentral
UACGUAGGGGGCGAGCGUUGUCCGAAUUUACUGGGCGUAAAGAGCGCGUAGGCGGGUUUUUAAGUGAGAGGUGAAAGGUUCAGGGCUCAACCCGAACAGUGCCUUUCAUACUGGAGACCUUGAGUGUGGGAGAGGCGAGUGGAAUUCCUGGUGUAGCGGUGAAAUGCGUAGAUAUCAGGAGGAACACCCAUGGCGAAGGCAGCUCGCUGGCCUACAACUGACGCUGAGGCGCGAAAGCGUGGGGAGCAAACAGG